RNAcentral lists this ribosomal RNA (586 nucleotides) under uncultured Bacteroidota bacterium. RNAcentral's name for it is "bacterial SSU rRNA". It matches the Rfam family "Bacterial small subunit ribosomal RNA", at positions 129 to 713 of the family's 1533-position model. The record is from RNAcentral. Lineage: Bacteria; Pseudomonadati; Bacteroidota.
CCCAUCGUUGGGGGAUAGCCCGCCGAAAGGCGGAUUAAUACCGCAUAAGACUAUAGAGCGGCAUCGCUUAGUAGUUAAAGAUUUGUUGAUGAUGGAUGGGGUUGCGGGUCAUUAGCUAGUUGGUUGGGUAACGGCUGACCAAGGCGACGAUGACUAGGGGAGCUGAGAGGCUGGUCCCCCACACGGGCACUGAGAUACGGGCCCGACUCCUACGGGAGGCAGCAGUAGGGAAUAUUGGGCAAUGGACGAGAGUCUGACCCAGCCAUGCCGCGUGCAGGAAGAAGGCUUUCUGAGUCGUAAACUGCUUUUGACAGGGAAGAAUAAGCUGGACGUGUCCAGUGAUGACGGUACCUGCAGAAUGAGCACCGGCUAACUCCGUGCCAGCAGCCGCGGUAAUACGGAGGGUGCGAGCGUUGUCCGGAUUUAUUGGGUUUAAAGGGUGCGUAGGCGGUUCUUUAAGUCCGGGGUGAAAGCCCGUUGCUCAACAACGGAACUGCCCUGGAUACUGGAGAACUUGAGUACAGACGAGGUUGGCGGAAUGGACUGAGUAGCGGUGAAAUGCAUAGAUACAGUCCAGAACCCCGAU